RNAcentral lists this ribosomal RNA (486 nucleotides) under uncultured beta proteobacterium. RNAcentral's name for it is "bacterial SSU rRNA". It matches the Rfam family "Bacterial small subunit ribosomal RNA", at positions 8 to 490 of the family's 1533-position model. The record is from RNAcentral. Lineage: Bacteria; Pseudomonadati; Pseudomonadota; Betaproteobacteria.
AGAGUUUGAUCAUGGCUCAGAUUGAACGCUGGCGGCAUGCUUACACAUGCAAGUCGAACGGCAGCACGGGAGCAAUCCUGGUGGCGAGUGGCGAACGCGUGAGUAAUGUAUCGGAACGUACCUUUCAGUGGGGGAUAACGUAGCGAAAGUUACGCUAAUACCGCAUAUUCUGUGAGCAGGAAAGCAGGGGAUCGCAAGACCUUGCGCUGAUUGAGCGGCCGAUAUCAGAUUAGCUAGUUGGUGAGGUAAAGGCUCACCAAGGCGACGAUCUGUAGCGGGUCUGAGAGGAUGAUCCGCCACACUGGAACUGAGACACGGUCCAGACUCCUACGGGAGGCAGCAGUGGGGAAUUUUGGACAAUGGGGGCAACCCUGAUCCAGUCAUGCCGCGUGAGUGAAGAAGGCCUUCGGGUUGUAAAGCUCUUUCAGCCGGGAAGAAAUCACAUGGGUUAAUACCCUGUGUGGAUGACGGUACCGGAAUAAGAAG